RNAcentral lists this ribosomal RNA (484 nucleotides) under uncultured bacterium. RNAcentral's name for it is "partial 16S ribosomal RNA". It matches the Rfam family "Bacterial small subunit ribosomal RNA", at positions 30 to 507 of the family's 1533-position model. The record is from RNAcentral.
AUUGAACGCUGGCGGCAGGCCUAACACAUGCAAGUCGAGCGGAUGAAGGGAGCUUGCUCCUGGAUUCAGCGGCGGACGGGUGAGUAAUGCCUAGGAAUCUGCCUGGUAGUGGGGGAUAACGUCCGGAAACGGGCGCUAAUACCGCAUACGUCCUGAGGGAGAAAGUGGGGGAUCUUCGGACCUCACGCUAUCAGAUGAGCCUAGGUCGGAUUAGCUAGUUGGUGGGGUAAAGGCCUACCAAGGCGACGAUCCGUAACUGGUCUGAGAGGAUGAUCAGUCACACUGGAACUGAGACACGGUCCAGACUCCUACGGGAGGCCGCAGUGGGGAAUAUUGGACAAUGGGCGAAAGCCUGAUCCAGCCAUGCCGCGUGUGUGAAGAAGGUCUUCGGAUUGUAAAGCACUUUAAGCUGGGAGGAAGGGCAGUAAGUUAAUACCUUGCUGUUUUGACGUUACCAACAGAAUAAGCACCGGCUAACUUCGUG